AAUUAGAGUGUUCAAAGCAGGCAGAUUCAAUUUUCUGCCACCGAAUACAUUAGCAUGGGAUAAUGGAAUAGGACCCUGUCCUCCUAUUUUCAGUUGGUUUUGGCAGCGCGAGGACUAGGGUAAUGAUUAAUAGGGAUAGUUGGGGGCAUUAAUAUUUAAUUGUCAGAGGUGAAAUUCUUGGAUUUAUGAAAGAUUAACUUCUGCGAAAGCAUCUGCCAAGGAUGUUUUCAUUAAUCAAGAACGAAAGUUAGGGGAUCGAAGACGAUCAGAUACCGUCGUAGUCUUAACCAUAAACGAUGCCGACCAGCGAUUAGGAGACGUUGAAUACAAAACACCACCAUCGGCGCGGUCGUCCUUGGCGUUCGUGUUCACGCACGGGCGCGAGGGCGGUUUAGCCCG
This 399-nucleotide ribosomal RNA is filed under the name Acanthamoeba castellanii. RNAcentral describes it as "SSU rRNA". It matches the Rfam family "Eukaryotic small subunit ribosomal RNA", at positions 764 to 1114 of the family's 1831-position model. Lineage: Eukaryota; Discosea; Longamoebia; Acanthamoebidae. The record is from RNAcentral.